This 508-nucleotide ribosomal RNA is filed under the name uncultured bacterium. RNAcentral describes it as "bacterial SSU rRNA". It matches the Rfam family "Bacterial small subunit ribosomal RNA", at positions 28 to 530 of the family's 1533-position model. The record is from RNAcentral.
GACGAACGCUGGCGGCGUGCCUAACACAUGCAAGUCGAGCGGAGUCGAUCGACGGAAGCCUUCGGGCGGAAGAUGGUUGACUUAGCGGCGGAUGGGUGAGUAACGCGUGGGCAACCUGCCUCGAAGACCGGGAUAACAGCCCGAAAGGGCUGCUAAUACCGGAUGUGGUCAAGGAUCCGCAUGGAUUUUUGAUUAAAGGGGAAACCCGUUUCGAGAUGGGCCCGCGUCCUAUCAGCUAGUUGGUGAGGUAAAAGCUCACCAAGGCGACGACGGGUAGCCGGCCUGAGAGGGUGACCGGCCACACUGGAACUGAGACACGGUCCAGACUCCUACGGGGGCAGCAGUGGGGAAUCUUCCACAAUGGGCGAAAGCCUGAUGGAGCGACGCCGCGUGAGCGAAGAAGGCCUCGGGUUGUAAGACUCUGUCUGGAGGGACGAAGGAAGUGACGGUACCUCCGGAGGAAGCCACGGCUAACUACGUAGCCAGCAGCCGCGGUAAAGUACUCUAU